GCACUACUGAGGAGUCCCGCAAUAGGACGAAACGGCCGUCCAGUGC
This is a non-coding RNA of Schistosoma margrebowiei, 46 nucleotides long. NCBI's taxonomy places the organism in Eukaryota, Metazoa, Platyhelminthes, Trematoda, Strigeidida, Schistosomatidae. The record is from Rfam.